UGAAACAAUGGAAUGGGUUACUUAGGGAGGGUGGUAAAAUCUCCAUCCUUAGUGAUUUUUAAGGCUCAGCUUGACAAAGCCUUGGCUGGGAUGAUUUAAUUGGUGUUGGUCCUGCUUGAGCAGGGGAUUGGACCAGAUGACCUCCUGAGGUCUCUUCCAACCCUAA
This is a long non-coding RNA of Dermochelys coriacea (leatherback sea turtle), 166 nucleotides long. RefSeq lists it as uncharacterized. NCBI's taxonomy places the organism in Eukaryota, Metazoa, Chordata, Testudines, Dermochelyidae. The record is from RefSeq and is a predicted model, not a curated record. The transcript is spliced from 3 exons.